AUGCAGUGCCCCCGUGUUCUUGUCUGUGUGGGCCGUGAGCCUUCACACCCUUCCAUCGUGGAGAGUUUUCGGAAAACGUCCGAGGACAAACUUCCGAAGUUAACUUCGAAGUCUCACUCCAACGGAUGCCACGAAGACCGUGAGGCAUUGAUGGGAAACCAACGACUUCCAGCAAAGCAAAGCGUCCAAAACCCCAAAGUGGAACCUGACAGGAGGUCGAACAGACCGUCUGUGUCAUCUGACAAGUCCUUACCAGAUGGGACUGAUUCUCCAGACAAUGUGGAUUCACGUCAACCCACUGGCGAAGCAGUGCGAGAUGAGGACAUAGAGAAAAGGGUUCGCAUCAAUAAAGAUGGCAGCUUGUCUAUGGAAAUGAAAGUGCGAUUUCGGCUACAUAAUGAUGAAACGAUACACUGGUCGACAGAAGUAAGAAAGGCAACAGGCAAGACCUGUGAGUACGUCCAAGAACACACAAAGCCCUGUUUUGCACCUGUUAGCGAUCAAAGUUAUUCAGAGUCAGAAAACAUUUCACUCGGUGAACAAGAGGCAGCCUUCGCCAAGCACCUUCAAACAUCAGAGCAGCCUCACUGUCCUCACUGCUGCAGUCACUGCCAGAAGUAUGACAUUUGGAAAAAAGGGAAACGCAGAGCAAGUUGCGGCAUUCAAACCUCCAGCUCAAGUGCAUCCUCACAUACGAAGGUCUCUAGAAAAGUGGUGGUUGAAAGGAAAAGGGUGUCUCGAUCGAGCGAUGAACACACAGAGCAGGUGGUGGAGGCAGAAACCUGCGUGUCGGCUGAAACUGUGGAGUACUGCACCAUCAGGAGUGAGACCUGUUCGCCAAAGGACAACGCACAGGUCACCACCGAGGACGACUGCGGCACAAAGGAUCGGGCCGAUGUCCAAAGCGCUCAAACGUCGGACCGAGAAGAACGGGCAGGAUCUGGUGACCGCGAUGAGGAUGACGACGUCCCGACCAGUGUAUCGAGAACAUCUGAGAGAGAAGACGCGGCGAUGACGGAGGCACCACCCACGCGGUCGUCCUCAGGCCCCAAAGCUUCAGAGCAACCUAGCAAGUCAAUCAAAACAAAAGCUUCACAUAAGUGUCAAUGCGGAGUUUCUGACAAGGGCCAAGAGGAAGUAGAAGGUGAGGUACGAGACCGAUCAAGUGCCAUGUCCGUCAAAUCCAAUGCCUCUGGCAGAUCAAACAAGUCUGAAGAUGUACAGAACACACAGCGUGAGGAUGGAGAAGUGAACCGAUCAAAAAGUGCCAUGUCAGCUCAUUCAAAUGCCUCGAAUGAAUCCAAACAGGCUGAAGAAAUAAUCCAGGAUGAAGAGGAAACACAAGAAAGACCAGUAAGCAGCACAUCCGCUAGAUCUGAAAACUCCGAAGUGAUGUGUGAGCAAAACAAAUCAGGGGAUGAGGCGCACGAAGAAAGAGCUUUAAGUUCAAUGUCAUCAAAAUCCAAAGCAUCUGUUAAAUCAAAGGUCUCGUUUCUCCUAAACGAGGAACAAACUGAGGAGGAAUCGGCGCAAAGGACUUCCAGUGCCAUGUCAGCCAGGUCAUGCGCAUCUGCAGAGGAAAACAGCCAUGAAGCAGCUCAAGAAAAUGAGGAUGAACCUGGGGAGAGAGCACAAAGUGCACUGUCAGAGAAGUCGAAUGAGUCACAUAAGUCUAAAGCAUCUGAAGCUCCACCUGAAGAAGAUGAGUGUAGAUCUGUGCAUUCGCCCGCGUCAUCAGAGGCAGAAGAUGCAGAUGUAAAUUUGGGGGAAGAAGACGAAGACAAAGAAACUCAAGAAGAUCAAGACAGAGUGCCAAGUUCCAUGUCAAUCCAAACCAACACCUCUGCAAGAUCAACACAAUCAAAAACAUCUAGACCUCAGAAUGAGGAAAAUGCUGAAGUAGAAACUGACGACAGACCGACCAGCGUCCUGUCUGCAAAAUCUACCAUGUCAAAAGCCUCUGAAGCGGAUGUUGACCAGCAGUCAAUCGUUUCUGAUCAUACAACAGAGGACAAACAGGCUGAAAAUGAAGAGGGUGAAAGGGCAUCAAGUGCAACGUCAGCUACGUCUAUCAAGUCAAAUGUAUCUGUAACAUCCAAGAGGUCUGAAAGUGCAGAUGAUGAAAAUGCUGAAGAGAAAAGGGAAGAAAGACCAAACAGCAGAAUGUCAGUGAAAUCAACGCAGUCAGCCAAGUCCAAUAUUUCUGCAAAAUCAAGCAAAUCCAAAUCAUCUAACAAGGACAAUGACGAAGAUCAUGAAGAAGAAAAUGCAACGCAACAAAAUGAAGAGAGUGCAUCAAGCUGUAAGGAUGAGGCUGAAGAAAAUCCAAGCUGCAUCCAGAAUGAUGAAACCGAAGGAAGAACAUCCAGCGCCAUGUCUGACAAAUCGUCUAAAAUGUCCAAAGUCUCUCACGACGGGUCUCAGGAAAAAAACAACGAUGAAGAAGUUGCAGAAAGAGCUCAGAGUGCAAUGUCGGCAAAAUCUGCCAAGUCAAACGUCUCUGUUAUCUCCAUUAAAUCCAAAUCUUCUCAAGUUCUCUCCAAAGCUAAUGAAGCAUCAGAUGAAGCAGAACAGGAACCUGACGAGAGACCACAGAGCUGCGCGUCACAUAAAUCAGCCAAGUCAAACAUCUCAGAAGCAUCAAGUGAAUCAAAGCACAGUGAAAAUGUCACUGAAGACAAUGAAGGCAGGGUUUCUAGCGUGCUGUCGCUUAAAUCUGCACGUUCGAAUACGUCAAUCAAAUCUGCCAAAUCAGCACAAUCCAAUAUUUCUGCCAAAUCUAAAAUGUCAAAGCCCAGUGAGUGUGAAGAAUGUGCUACAGAACAGCUGGAGUACAUGUCAUCCAAAUCUGUUAAGUCUGUAAAGUCCAACGCUUCCGCCAUAUCUGUGAAAUCAAAAGGUUCUGAAAUGCUUUCGAAAAACUGUGAUGAAGAUGAGGAGGCUGACAAAAGGUCAGUCCAGUCCGUUGAGUCAAGUGUUUCUGUCAGGUCCAAUAGGUCUAAAUGUUCUGCUCGUGUAGCAGCCGAUAAAGAAGAGGAGCAGAGCGAGAUACGUGCAUCGAGCAGCAUGUCAGUAGCGUCACAUGUUUCUGAGAUAUCCAUAAAAUCUGCCGGCAAGACACCAAGUGUCCUGUCAGCUAAAUCUGCAAAGUCACUGGCCUCCGCAAAAUCCAUCAAAUCCACUGCCUCUCAUGGUCAAACUACUAGGAUUCCUGAUGACGGUGAUGGUGGAGAGGAAACUCCAGGAAGAGUGGAAAGUGCAUUGUCAGCAAAAACUGCAAAGUCCAACGUCUCUGUAAGAUCCAAAAUGUCAGAAUGUUCAGAUGAAAAUGAUAGGAAGCAAACUGUAGAAAGAGUUGCAAGCAGCUUGUCCGCUAAGUCUGUCCAGUCCAGUGUUUCAGAAAUAUCCAUUAAGUCUGCAGAAAGAGCACCUAGUGCUAAAUCGGCUAAGUCAGCAAAAUCUCGUGCUUCUGAAAAAUCUAAAAAAUCAAACGCCUCUGAAGCUUCUUCUAGCAAAACUGCUGGAGUUGAUGAUGAGGAAACUCAGGACAGAGCGCAAAGUGUAAGAUCAGUGGUUUCUGCAUCAUCUGGUAAGUUACAGGGGCCGGGUGGCCCAGCUGAAGGAAACAGAUGCGAUCAUGAGGAAAACGAGGAGCGAGCUCCAAGUAACACGUCUGUCAGAUCAGCGAAAUCCGUCAAGUCAAAUGUUUCAGCGGCAUCUAAGAAAUCCAAAACUUCACACGUUCCCUCAGAGCACGAUACGUUGGAAAAUGAAGUGGAACAAAGUGAAAACAGAUCUGCAACUUCAGCGUCAGUCCAUUCAGUCAAAUCAGGUGUUUCUGUGAGCUCAGCAAAUGCCAAAUGUUCUGCUGACAGACCUAAGUCGACUGCAUCCGAUGCUCCCACUGACACCAGUGCUGCUCCUGAUGGAAAUUAUGACGACGAAACUCAAGACAGAGCAGAAAGCGUAACGUCUGCAAAGUCAGCCACCUAUGCAGAAUCAAAUAAGUCACAUGUUUCGGCUGAGGAGAACGAGGAAAGACCUUCAAGCGUCAAGUCAGUGAAAUCAGUGAAGUCAAAAGCCUCAUGUGUCGUGUCUGAACACAGCGUGGAAGCUGCUGAUCCCGAGAACAAAGGCAGAAUGAGCCCAAUGUCAGCUCAGUCUGUUACAUCCAAUGCUUCUUCCGUAUCGAACAAAUCACAAUGUUGUGACGUCCAAAAUGAACCCAGCUCUGACACCAACGAAGAAGAAAGAGCAGCAAGCAGUACGUCAUCCAGAUCAGUCCGCUCACAUGUUUCUGAAAGAUCUGCUGAGUCUCAUGCCUCUCAGCUCAUCGCUGAAGAUGCGAUUGAACAUGUGAAAACCCCAGAGAGAGCAUCUAGUGCCUUGUCAGUUAAGUCUGUGAAGUCACAUGUUUCUGCAAAAUCUACUAAAUCAGACAUGUCUGAAAUUUGUUCCGGACUGGAAGAAAGCGCAGAGGAAAGAAACGGUGAAGAGGAAAGUCAGAAGAGAGCUCAGAGUGGACAGUCAGUCAUGUCUGUCAGAUCCAGCAAAUCUAAAGUCUCAGACUCAAGAAACACACAGUCCCAAAGGUCAAAAGGUGCUGAAGAGGAAAAUUCAGAGAGAGCACCAAGUUGCACCUCAAAUGUCACUGAAGCAUCUGUCACUCUCAAAGAAAAUACUACAAAGGAGGAGAACGAGGACCGUGCCCCGAGCUGUGCUUCCAUCAAGUCAAAUGCCACAGCUGUAUCAAAGAAAUCAAAAGCUUCUGAGACUCCUGCUGGAAACAGCACAAACAUGGCUGACACUAAAGAAGAAGAAGCAGCUGUCGAGUCAGUUAAGUCGGUGACGUCAUCAUCCACAAAAUCAAAAGCAUCAAAAGCAAGAAUUAAUAAAGACGAUGCUGAAGACCCAGCAGAUGGGUCAAUCAGCGAGUUGUCUGUGACGUCCAGUCUUUCUAGAAUCACCACCAGUGAAAAGAAAUCUGACCACAGGACACAUAGUGCCAAGUCAGCAAAAUCAGACAAAUCUAUUAAAUCAUCAAAAUCAAACAAAUUACUAACACCUGACUUCUCAGCUAAAGAAAGUUUAGAUUCUAUAUCAGUGAGAUCGGAGACUGCAUCUGAAAUGUUAGGAAGGUCUGAAGUUCCUGCUGUGACUGUUGAGAAAACAGAAGAAGGGGCAUCGACAGUCACGUCAUUGAAGUCCAAGUCUUCAUCACGUUCAAAAAAGUCAACAUCCAUGGUGAAAGGAGAAAAAAGUGAUCGGACCAAGAGUUCUUCAUCAAUGAAGUCAGAUCUCACUACAAAAUCUCAAAACUCCAACCGAACUGAUGCUUCCACUGAAGAAGGUGUGAGAAGCAAAGAGUUUGAAAUGCUGAUGUCCUUCGUUUCUGCACACAACGCAGAGGAGACUCAGGACGCCAACAUGCUAACAUCUCAUUUAGAGGAGGAAGAGAAAGAAGAAGAGGCAGCAGCGGAGGAGGGACAGGGAAAUAAAUUAAGGGUGAUUCCCCGUGAAAUGUCGGACGAAAGCGAUUUGUCACAGAGCCUGUCCAGCUCUGACGUCGUCAAAGAGCCGUGUGAGAUUCCAGCGCCUAGUGGGUCAAAACCUACUAAGGCUAAAGGAACGAGGAACGGUCCAGUGACACCUACGGACAUCCCCGAUAACAAAAGUGGCAAAAGCAACGCGUGCAAACACAAUGACUCCGAUUCGAAUGACUUUGAGCUGGUGUCGUCCAGUCUCCCCAACACAUCCCCUACCGAGGUUGUGAAUGAGUGGCUCAGGGCCAUACCGGGGGACGGAGACAUGUACGAGGUGGAGGAAUCCAGCGAGGCAGAAAAAAACGGAGGCACAGCCGAGGAAACGAACGAGAAGGAAAAGAACGACGACUCUGGGGCCGAGAACCCAACAGACGCCAAUGGGGGGGUUUCUGAAACCAGUGCCCCCAACGAGGACAGUCAAGCAAACGCAGAGGCACCGAAUGAAGACAGCGACCAAGACACCACAAAAACUUUCCACUCCUCUGUGCAGGUGAUGAGAGUACUUUUAAGUCCAAAGCUUGACAGAUGUAACAGUUUGCCAGAGGUUUCUCCAGUUUACGGGCGUAAACUAAGCACAUCAGCUAAAGGCCUCCUAGACUGUCUUGUGAAGUUGCAGCUGAUAGACAAUGAUCCUAAAAAUGCAAAUGAAAAGGGUGAAAAGUACCAAGAACUAAUGAACAUUCUUCAAUCUCUUUGGCUUUGUGAUCCUCCAGAAAACGAGCUGGUCCUAAAGGACAAUCAGCAGCACUCUGUGGACGAUGAGUUCAUUCAUACGUCAUCCUCUGGCGUGGACGUCAAUAGUGGCUCCACUGGCUCUGGCAAUAGUAGCGACGGAGUGAAAACUAGUGAUGGUGACACACUGCAACCACACACCAGCGCAAAUGUUUUAAGGAAAAUUCAAGAAGACUGUGAAGAAGAAGAAGAAGAAGAAGAAGAAGAAGAAGAAGAAGAAGAAGAAGAAAGAAGAAGAAGAAGAAGAAGAAGAGAAGAAAGAAGAAGAAGAAGAAGAAGAAGAAGAAGAAGAAGAAGAAGAAGAAGAAGAAGAAGAAGAAGAAGAAGAAGAAGAAGAAGAAGAAGAAGAAGAAGAAGAAGAAGAAGAAGGAGGAGGAGGAGGAGAACACGAAGAAGAAGGAGAAAAAGAUCAAUGGAUACCUGAAAAAGAAGUAGAAGAAACGCAGGAAGACAAGCUAAAGGACGAUGACCCAGCAACAGAUGAAACAAUCCAAAGCAGUGACAGUCCCAGAGGCCUGUCUGAAACACCCCCGUCAUCAAACAAAAGCUUAGAGAACGACGGCAGCAGCCAAAAGGUUCCAGGAGAAGAUGAAACAGAGGGUCAGGAGAGUCCUUCCCUUGGUGAACGAGCAGAAUUGGUCAAAAUGCUUUCUCAAGAUCCGGAUCCUGUUUGGGUGUUAACCUUAUUAGCCAAACUAGAAAAGCAGUUCAUGACACAUUACAUCAACGCAAUGAGGGAGUUCAAAGCCCGGUGGAACCUGAUUGACGGUGCACAGCUGGACGUGAUGAUAAGUGAACUUGAAACCCAGGUCCGCAAGAGGAUCCAGAUAAGCAUAAACAGGGAGCUGAAGAGGAUCCAAGGGGGAACUAGCCUCCCGAGGCCCCCCAAGGAAGCCAUGUCCCGAGCAUCAACGACCCAAACAGAGGAGAGGAGACGGAGACUGAAGGCUAUGCUCAAACAAUCAGCUGAUCCACCACCAGACAACAGUGAGGACUCUGCAACAGGGACAUCGUACAGUGACCAACGCAGCGAGAACGACGACUGUCCAUGUGACUCCUGCGUUAGGAAACCAAAGCCCCCACCUUCUGCAGAAGUUAUGAAUAUUGCACCUAGUAUAGUGGACUUUGACCUAAAAAGUAUUCUAACAAUGACGUACAACGAUGUGGAGCAUGCACAAGCAGCUGACACCGAACGCAACACUGAAACCACAGCGGCAUCAGCGGUUGUAGGAACAGCCGUGACAGAUCUGGAGGAGGAUCAGAUCCAGCAAGCCUUUGAAGAUGUAGAUGAAAAGGAAGCAGAGUAUGUGGGUACAGAAGAAGGGUCAGAAAACAAUGAAGAAGAAUUAAGUGCACAGAUUGUUUCUGAAGAUACAAAUGUAGAUAUAUGUCAUGUGGAAGAUGAAGUGGUUUCUGCUGAAAAUGAAGAGAUAGUGGAGAAUAUGGAGGCACGAGAGGACGAGGAAGUGGAACAGGAUCAGUCAGAAGGAAACUGUCUGGAAGCAUCUGCAGACACAUCUGGAGCCGUGUUAGAGUCUGCAGGCGCAGAAACCGCAACAGAACUCACCUCUGACACAGAGAAAGACGUCAUGGAAGUGGAGGAUGAGAGAAAUGAGGAAGAGGCAGAGGUUGGCGUGGAAGUCGGUGCAAGUGAGAACGAACCUGAGGAAGCAGAGGAGAAAUCUGAGGCAACACCAGCUGAAAACCAAUCUGACGAAGAAGAGGCAGAGGGAGCAGGAACAGUUGAAAAUGAGGAAGAGGUUCCUGUCACAGAAGCUGAAGAAGAAACAACUGAACACGAGGUUGCUGAUGAUAAGGUGGAUGUUAUCACAGGUGGCAAAGAUGAGGACGAUACCCCUGCAGACGCAAGUGAGGAGGAAGAGAUGGUUGUCACCAGUGGAGAUGAAGUGAAGGAAGAAUUUCUGGACGCAGCUGAUGACGGAGCAUCCACUAGUAACCACAAGUCUGACGAAGAGGAAGAUGAGGAAGCAGCGAUUGAGGGUGAAGCGCUCGCUUCCGCGUGCACCAAUGGUUCUGCAGAAGAGAAGGAUGAUCCGACCACAGCUCAUGACUCAUCGGAGGAACACGACGAAGAAGCGACGACCGAAGAUGAGAUUGUUGAAAGAAACGAAGCAAUCGCUGCCACAAGUGAAGAUGAAGAGGAAAAUGUAGUGGCAACAACUGAAAAUGAAUCGGAAAAUGACAAAGAAGUAGAAGAAGAACAAGAACAAGAAGCUGUGGACAGCGGAGAGGAGACCGGCUCUGCAGAUCAUGGGACUGGAAAUGAAGAUGAACCUGCAGAGGAGAAAUGUGCUUCAGAGGACGGAGCAGUACCUGAAAAUGAGCAUGUCCCAGAAAAAGAAGAGCCCGAAGAAGAGGCUGCAGAAGAAGAGACAGGCUCUGAUGACGAAGAGCCUGCUGCCACAAGUGCUGAAGAGUCUGACAUCAACACAACUGCAGCAAAAGAUGGGCAUGGAGAAACAGACACUGAAGGUGAGACGGCCGAAGGAAAGGAAAUCAUAAGCGAGGAUGAGGAGGCUGAAGGUGAUGUCACUGCAGAAAACACGUCUGUGGCAGGUACGAGUGACAACGAAUCAAACAAAGAAGAAGAUGGUGACGAUGCAAAAGAUGCCGUAACAACCGAAGAUGAAACCGCUGAGGAGGAAGGCGAUGCCGUUGCAACUGAGAAGGACACGGAUGAGGAAGAUCAAGAGUUUGUCGAAUCCACCCACACUGAGAACAAAAAUGCUGCAGAAGAGUCUGAGGAUGAGUCUGACAAAGGUGAAGCCGAACAAGCGGAGGAGGACGACAAUGGAGAACAGACUCCUGCCACAAACGAUGAAGAUGAAACAGCCGAGGAGCCCGAUGUCGUUGGUGACGAAGAUCCAAGCAAGGCAACUGCAGAAACGACGACUGCUACUGAAAAAGACACGGACGACGUAAGUGAAGAGGCUGCAGACGACACCAACGCAGCCUCGACCGAAGACGAACCCGAGCAGCACGAAGCCGUGGCAGAAGAGAUGGACACAGCAGCAAGUACAGAUGAAGCAGAUGGGACCAGCGGAGCAGAAGAGGAGGAGGAGGGCGUAUCGGCAGCUGAACAUGAAUCCGCAGAGGAAGAGAUUCCAGCCACCACUGGGAAUGAGUCGGAAUCAGAUCAACACGGACCCACGGAGGAGGAGACUGAUGAUGAGAAGGUGAUCGCUGCCACGAGUGAAGAUGACAUAAAGGAAGCCACCGAUACAACUGGACAUGAAGACAUGGAGGAAGAAGAAGAAGAAGACCCGGAGGUCACCACAAAUGAUGAAGAAACCGCAGACGAGAACGGAAAGGAGGUCGUCGCCACGGACGACGACGAUGCCACGGAGCAGGAGAAGUCAGGCCAGGAGGAAAUCAGUGAAGUCGUGGCGUCGAACCAAGAGGGAGAGGAAGAAACCACAGAAGCUGGCGAAGAGGCUGAGGCUGAUCCUGAAUCUGCAGGAGAGGCAAGCUCCAAAGACGCAACUGAGAGUGAAUGUGAGGGAGACGCGGAGAACAAUGCAACAACAGAUGAAAACGAGGCCGCGGGAGAAGAAGAGACUUCGAAGGUGACCAGUGAGUCAGGAGACGAAGAAGAGAAUGAGACUGGAGGAGAAACAGGAGCGUCUGAGGGAGUCGCAGGAAGCGACGUAUCCCGAGUAGAGACGCUGAAAGAAGGCGAGACAACGGGAGACGAGUCGGAGGAGGAUGAGGCAACAGGUGAAGACGAGGGCAACGAGACAGAGGAACGUGAGACAGAACGGUCUGCAGGGGAAUCUGCAGUGGAGGAGCUCAGAGGAGCCCAAGACCUGAGGGAGGAGUCCACGGGAGAAGACGACGAGGUUUCAGUCAGAGAACUCACUAACGACGAAGCAGAAGAUCUCGAUGAGGUGGUGGAGCUGAGGCCGGAGGAGGAUGUGGGUGUGGAGGACAUAUCGGAAGAUGGAGGGACCGAGACAGGUGUGAGAGACGGUCGCCACGGUAACGCUAAGGACAACGCCGACGCCUCCGAGAAGGAGGAAGAGGAAACCGAGGCGCCCAGCGAGGACUGCAGGGGAUUCCUGGGAGACGAAGAGGACGAGGCAGAGGAGGAUUCGGACCGGGGGAGAACAGACGAGGACGAAGAGAGAGACUUUGUCCCGAGCAGGAGAGAAAAACCGGCGGCGGCGAACCGGGCGGCCGAGGAAGCGGCGCUGGUGCCACUGGACGCCUUGACCAACGUGGAGUCUGAGGACGGGGCUUACGCCGACGUCGAGGACUCGGAGACCGAAACCAACGGCCAGGAUGACGUCACGAGCCUCGAGUGGAAGGUGACGAAAGCGUAAACUGAAAGCAGGCGAGCACUAAAGAGACACAAGCACUUUACUAGCGUUUCUAUUUGUAUGACGAUGCUGGAAGGACCGCCAGUGUUCUUCUUUCCUCUUCAUCUUGAAUGUUUAACAUUUUAACUAUCAUGCAGGUAACAGGUCGUGUUCUAGCGCCGGAUAUUAGGAGGAAAACUGAAUAUUUAUUACUCUCAGUGUCAGCACCUUCAGUAACUGGUUUCUAGAUGUAACCAAAUAAAAUGAAAAGUAGCAGAAAUCCA
RNAcentral lists this long non-coding RNA (10878 nucleotides) under Betta splendens (Siamese fighting fish). Its description in RNAcentral is "lncRNA (ENSBSLG00000025643.1)". Lineage: Eukaryota; Metazoa; Chordata; Actinopteri; Anabantiformes; Osphronemidae. The record is from RNAcentral.